This 342-nucleotide long non-coding RNA is filed under the name Sorghum bicolor (sorghum). Its description in RNAcentral is "long non-coding RNA (SBIC_LNC006532)". The record is from RNAcentral. Lineage: Eukaryota; Viridiplantae; Streptophyta; Magnoliopsida; Poales; Poaceae.
GUUGGUCUUGACUCCUACGACCCUCUCAUUGGGUCUAGGUGGAAGGAUCCUUGUGCCGGUUGGCACCUUGAUGGUGGUCUUCGUCUUGGAUGAUGAUCCUUUGAGGAGUAGGGGUUGUGGCGGUGCGGUGAGAACUGGUUGAGCAUGGUAAGAUUGGGCGGAGCUGCGUUGGCGUAAUGGCAUGGCUUCUAGCUGUCGCUCUGUGUUGGCCGGGACGAGAGCACGGGCAUCGGGGUCUUCUACAGGCUCCAUGUUGAGGUUGAAGGGGACGACUUCCCAAUCAUCGUGGUACUUCUCGGCCAUUGGAUCUGCAAGGGACUAAUCAAGCUCUAAUUGAAGGAG